RNAcentral lists this ribosomal RNA (651 nucleotides) under Triticum aestivum (bread wheat). RNAcentral's name for it is "partial small subunit ribosomal RNA". Lineage: Eukaryota; Viridiplantae; Streptophyta; Magnoliopsida; Poales; Poaceae. The record is from RNAcentral.
AAUUCCUACUUUGUAGCUGUCGCACAACUUCUUAUUUAUGUGGGAGCCAUAAAUGUCUUGAUCAUAUUCGUUGUAAUGUUCGUAAAUGGCUCGGAAUGGUCUAAAGAUAGGAAUUAUUGGACUAUUGGAGAUGGGUUCACUUCACUCGUUUGUAUAACUAUUGUUUUUUCACUAAUGACUACUAUCCCAGAUACGUCGUGGUAUGGAAUUUUUUGGACUACAAGAUCAAACCAAAUAGUAGAACAUGGUCUCAUAAAUAAUGUUCAACAAAUUGGAUACCUCCAUCCCACUAAGGGCAUCUCCAACGUCGACUCUCAAACCUUAUGCAACCAUCCGGACAGAGCUAUCCGGACCGCGGAAGCCAUCCAUAUCGGUCCGUGGAGCGGUCCGGACGCGAUUUCUCCUCGAACUGGGGACAAACAAGGGGGGGAGCUUUGUAGGAGUACGGACACGCGAAACCUCGUUCUCCGCCCCCCUGGCGCACCAAAAGGAAGGCGGAGCCCGCGCUUUUGUAGCAUCCUGCACUAUUCCGUGCCAAAAUGCCCCACUCUCUUCUUCCAUUCCCCGCCACUCUCCGCCCAAUUCCCGCUCAUUUCUCCCACCCUCAUUUUUUCCGCCGCCGACGCAUGGAACCGUCGGAGAACCUGGUAG